UCUUUUCAGUCUUUCUUGUCAAGUUUGAACUGAUCUCUCACAGUCUAACGCAAGCUCCACAUACUAUAGGAUUAACAUCACACGAUUCACAUCCUUCAGUUUUUCAAGCUUUCAUAUCACAGUUCUAGCAAAUAAGAGGUGUUCAAUCAUGGGAGGUGUUUUUGGCAUUAACUGUUGCGAAAUUAGAAAUGCUUCUGAACUCAUAUUCAAUUAACCAACAACUUCUUACAUUUCACAAGGGCAACUGUUCUUGUAACUACAAUUAGGAGCCUUCUCCAUAUCCAUUGGGGGGGUGGGGGGGUGUUGAGAUGAUAAUCGUUGAAUGUUAUUCUGUUUAGAUUGGUAUUUUCAAUUUUUUUGAUCGGAGAUAAUGGGAUGGUUUAUGCUAUCAAAUUGUAUCGUGCUGGUGCAACAACUAACUCACAGGAUGGUGUCACUGAUCUUCUCGGAAAGUGUUUGCCUGUGCUCAAAGAGAUGGCUGAUCAAAAUAUGCCUUUGUUGGUCCAUGGGGAAGUUACAGAUCUCGCUGUAGAUAUGUUUGAUCAUGAAAAGGUUAUUUAGUGAGACAAUUUUAAGACCUUCAGUACAGAAAUUACCACAACUGUAAGUUGUGAAGGAGCAUAUCACUAUGGCAGAUGCCGUCAAGUUUAUAAAUCAUGCAAUGAAGGUAAUAUCAUAUUUUGUGUUUGAGAAUAUUUCUAUCAUCUGGUUUAAGUUACUUUUUUUUUUCUUAAGAAAAUAUAAUUUUCUUUUGGUGCCCAAUAAAAAUUCUCCAUUCAUCUUGCUCCUUUACGUUCAACACUCAACAUGUAGUGUAGCAGCCUACAUGACACCAUUCACCGUGCUGAAUAGAAAUUCUCCCUUCCAAGGAGGCCUGCAGCCACAUAACUACUGUCUUGCAGUGCUCAAAAGAGAAACUCAUAGUAUGUGUUGUUUGAAUGGUAAUAAACAUAUUCAUUAACUUGACUUAUGUGAUAGAUUUUAGUUGAUUAUGUAUUUUGCUUCAAGCCUUCAACUACAAGAAGAGAGUAACAUCACAGUUGCUUUGUGAAUGUGGAUUGUGGACACAGUUUAGUGCGUCCAAUCUUAGCCAACAUAAUCUUGUGUAUAGAAUUUUAAGUUCAGUAUGGGUGCUUGAGAGAAUGUUUUUGUAGAUAGAAGAGAAGAAAUUACUGCAUUUUAGAGUACAUUUACCAUUAUUUGCUGAAAGAUGAUUGAACGAUCCUUGUCUAUACCCACCUGAGGUGGUUGUUUGGAACUCCUGGAGAAGCUGUUGAAGUAAGAUAUCAGACUGGAAGAUUUCAAUGUCAGUUUAUUGUCUGCCAAGUGUCGGACCAUGAGCACCCUCUUACAUGUCCGUGUACAUAUGUUCUAACCUGGACUAGCAAGGGAGUACUGCGAGCUAAGUCUGUUGUUUGAUCAAAGCUCAAAUUGUUUCCUCUAGUCCAGACUCCAGAGUUUGGUUGAUCCAGGCCUAACACUACUGCAAGCACCAUAACAGGCCUGCUAUUUGUGAUUAAAGCAACGAAAUCAGAGAUCUGGUUUCGUAGUUUGUACUUAACGAGGUAUCUUUUGCUAAUCUAUUUAUGUGCAUUCAUUAGAGUAGAGACCAAUUAAUGGUGUGUGUUAAGUGGAAGUGUGACUAUUAUGUUUGUCCCCCACAUUGGAAUAUAAAGCCACGAUCUUUUAGUUUAUAACGUUUCUCAUACAGAGUAUGUGACCUUAUGGAAUAGCUCAACAACGUUUGAUGGGAUUAUUCUUGCAUCUGUAUGCGCUCUUUAAGAGUAUCUGGAAGUGCUCUCAACAAUUUUUCUUAAGACACCACCAAGUUGAUGGAGUUUCUGCCUUGCACAUUUUUUUUUAAGAUCUCAAGCGUCGCCUCGAAUUCCAGCCAUCUUCCCUCGCCUUGUCCAUAUCUCUGUCGUGAGAAGCAGCGUAAGGUCGUCCAUAUCUUCAUCGCGAGAAGCAGCGUGUAAGGUCGCCUCGUACCAGUGGUGGUUCGUUUGCAUUCCGGUCGUCUCCAGCACCGGCGUUCGUCGGCUUCAAGAUUCAAUGAUGUUUUCCUUUUUUUUAAUUUUUAAUUUUUUUGUUAAUUCUCUAUAUUUCUGUUUUAUUUUAGAUCUUUGUAUACCUCUUUUUUUUCUUUUUUUUUUUUAAAUUUGUCCUCAUUAAUUUGUUUUCAUUUUUUUUUUAUAUUUUGUAAUUAGGGUUUGUAAAAUAUUUUUUAUUGAAUAAAUGGCAGUUUGGGUUAGUUACUUUUGUUGUUAUUGUACUGCAAUAGUCUCCAAUGUUUAUAUUAUAAGUGUAUUACGCCUUGAGUAAUAAUUUUUUUUUUUACCUGCCCUGCGUAUAUUGCUGCGGUUUUGGGAAGAAUUCGCAGCAAUAUACCUGUAUUUUUAAUAUUGAAAAAUAUACAUAUUGCUGCGGUUUUCUCAAGAAACCGCAGCAAUAUGUUCAAAUAUUGUUGCGGUUUAAAACUGCAGCAAUAUAUUAAGUACAUAUUGCUGCCUCCUUAAUUGCUGCGCGGCCAAAACUGCCGCAAUAGGGCACUUAUUGACCGCAACAAUAAGCAUUUAUUCUACUAGUGAUACUCUUUUUAUGCAUUAGAAUGACAUUACAGCUUUGCAU
Molecule: long non-coding RNA, 2628 nt
Organism: Beta vulgaris subsp. vulgaris (sugar beet)
Lineage: Eukaryota; Viridiplantae; Streptophyta; Magnoliopsida; Caryophyllales; Amaranthaceae
Exons: 5
Source: RefSeq, a predicted model, not a curated record